UACGUGAUUGUCUGGUAGCCUUUG
Molecule: non-coding RNA, 24 nt
Filed under: Cricetulus griseus (Chinese hamster)
Lineage: Eukaryota; Metazoa; Chordata; Mammalia; Rodentia; Cricetidae
Source: RNAcentral